CCUACGGGAGGCAGCAGUGAGGAAUAUUGGUCAAUGGACGAGAGUCUGAACCAGCCAAGUAGCGUGAAGGAUGACUGCCCUAUGGGUUGUAAACUUCUUUUAUAUGGGAAUAAAACGUUCCACGUGUGGGAUUUUGUAUGUACCAUAUGAAUAAGGAUCGGCUAACUCCGUGCCAGCAGCCGCGGUAAUACGGAGGAUCCGAGCGUUAUCCGGAUUUAUUGGGUUUAAAGGGAGCGUAGGUGGAUUGUUAAGUCAGUUGUGAAAGUUUGCGGCUCAACCGUAAAAUUGCAGUUGAAACUGGCAGUCUUGAGUACAGUAGAGGUGGGCGGAAUUCGUGGUGUAGCGGUGAAAUGCUUAGAUAUCACGAAGAACUCAGAUUGCGAAGGCAGUUCACUGGACUGCAACUGACACUGAGGCUCGAAAGUGUGGGUAUCAAACAGGAUUAGAUACCCCAGUAGUC
RNAcentral lists this ribosomal RNA (460 nucleotides) under uncultured bacterium. RNAcentral describes it as "partial 16S ribosomal RNA". It matches the Rfam family "Bacterial small subunit ribosomal RNA", at positions 338 to 795 of the family's 1533-position model. The record is from RNAcentral.